AAAUUGAAGAGUUUGAUCAUGGCUCAGAUUGAACGCUGGCGGCAGGCCUAACACAUGCAAGUCGAGCGGUAGCACAGAGAGCUUGCUCUCGGGUGACGAGCGGCGGACGGGUGAGUAAUGUCUGGGAAACUGCCUGAUGGAGGGGGAUAACUACUGGAAACGGUAGCUAAUACCGCAUAACGUCGCAAGACCAAAGUGGGGGACCUUCGGGCCUCAUGCCAUCAGAUGUGCCCAGAUGGGAUUAGCUAGUAGGUGGGGUAACGGCUCACCUAGGCGACGAUCCCUAGCUGGUCUGAGAGGAUGACCAGCCACACUGGAACUGAGACACGGUCCAGACUCCUACGGGAGGCAGCAGUGGGGGAAUAUUGCACAAUGGGCGCAAGCCUGAUGCAGCCAUGCCGCGUGUGUGAAGAAGGCCUUCGGGUUGUAAAGCACUUUCAGCGGGGAGGAAGGCGGUGAGGUUAAUAACCUCAUCGAUUGACGUUACCCGCAGAAGAAGCACCGGCUAACUCCGUGCCAGCAGCCGCGGUAAUACGGAGGGUGCAAGCGUUAAUCGGAAUUACUGGGCGUAAAGCGCACGCAGGCGGUCUGUCAAGUCGGAUGUGAAAUCCCCGGGCUCAACCUGGGAACUGCAUUCGAAACUGGCAGGCUAGAGUCUUGUAGAGGGGGUAGAAUUCCAGGUGUAGCGGUGAAAUGCGUAGAGAUCUGGAGGAAUACCGGUGGCGAAGGCGGCCCCCUGGACAAAGACUGACGCUCAGGUGCGAAAGCGUGGGGAGCAAACAGGAUUAGAUACCCUGGUAGUCCACGCCGUAAACGAUGUCGAUUUGGAGGUUGUGCCCUUGAGGCGUGGCUUCCGGAGCUAACGCGUUAAAUCGACCGCCUGGGGAGUACGGCCGCAAGGUUAAAACUCAAAUGAAUUGACGGGGGCCCGCACAAGCGGUGGAGCAUGUGGUUUAAUUCGAUGCAACGCGAAGAACCUUACCUGGUCUUGACAUCCACAGAACUUUCCAGAGAUGGAUUGGUGCCUUCGGGAACUGUGAGACAGGUGCUGCAUGGCUGUCGUCAGCUCGUGUUGUGAAAUGUUGGGUUAAGUCCCGCAACGAGCGCAACCCUUAUCCUUUGUUGCCAGCGGUUAGGCCGGGAACUCAAAGGAGACUGCCAGUGAUAAACUGGAGGAAGGUGGGGAUGACGUCAAGUCAUCAUGGCCCUUACGACCAGGGCUACACACGUGCUACAAUGGCAUAUACAAAGAGAAGCGACCUCGCGAGAGCAAGCGGACCUCAUAAAGUAUGUCGUAGUCCGGAUUGGAGUCUGCAACUCGACUCCAUGAAGUCGGAAUCGCUAGUAAUCGUAGAUCAGAAUGCUACGGUGAAUACGUUCCCGGGCCUUGUACACACCGCCCGUCACACCAUGGGAGUGGGUUGCAAAAGAAGUAGGUAGCUUAACCUUCGGGAGGGCGCUUACCACUUUGUGAUUCAUGACUGGGGUGAAGUCGUAACAAGGUAACCGUAGGGGAACCUGCGGUUGGAUCACCUCCUUA
Molecule: ribosomal RNA, 1540 nt
Filed under: Klebsiella pneumoniae
Lineage: Bacteria; Pseudomonadati; Pseudomonadota; Gammaproteobacteria; Enterobacterales; Enterobacteriaceae
Description: bacterial SSU rRNA
Rfam family: Bacterial small subunit ribosomal RNA
Source: RNAcentral